CACUCCUACGGGAGGCAGCAGUGGGGAAUUUUGGACAAUGGGCGAAAGCCUGAUCCAGCAAUGCCGCGUGAGUGAAGAAGGCCUUCGGGUUGUAAAGCUCUUUUGUCAGGGAAGAAACGGUGAGAGCUAAUAUCUCUUGCUAAUGACGGUACCUGAAGAAUAAGCACCGGCUAACUACGUGCCAGCAGCCGCGGUAAUACGUAGGGUGCAAGCGUUAAUCGGAAUUACUGGGCGUAAAGCGUGCGCAGGCGGUUUUGUAAGUCUGAUGUGAAAUCCCCGGGCUCAACCUGGGAAUUGCAUUGGAGACUGCAAGGCUAGAAUCUGGCAGAGGGGGGUAGAAUUCCACGUGUAGCAGUGAAAUGCGUAGAUAUGUGGAGGAACACCGAUGGCGAAGGCAGCCCCCUGGGUCAAUAUUGACGCUCAUGCACGAAAGCGUGGGGAGCAAACAGGAUUAGAAACCCUGGUAGUCCC
This 471-nucleotide ribosomal RNA is filed under the name uncultured organism. RNAcentral's name for it is "partial 16S ribosomal RNA". It matches the Rfam family "Bacterial small subunit ribosomal RNA", at positions 334 to 797 of the family's 1533-position model. The record is from RNAcentral.